This 425-nucleotide ribosomal RNA is filed under the name uncultured Caryophanaceae bacterium. RNAcentral describes it as "bacterial SSU rRNA". It matches the Rfam family "Bacterial small subunit ribosomal RNA", at positions 356 to 774 of the family's 1533-position model. The record is from RNAcentral. Lineage: Bacteria; Bacillati; Bacillota; Bacilli; Caryophanales; Caryophanaceae.
AGGGAAUCUUCCACAAUGGACGGAAGUCUGAUGGAGCAACGCCGCGUGAGUGAUGAAGGUUUUCGGAUCGUAAAACUCUGUUGUAAGGGAAGAACCAGUACGUCAGGCAAUGGACGUACCUUGACGGUACCUUAUUAGAAAGCCACGGCUAACUACGUGCCAGCAGCCGCGGUAAUACGUAGGUGGCAAGCGUUGUCCGGAAUUAUUGGGCGUAAAGCGCGCGCAGGUGGUUUCUUAAGUCUGAUGUGAAAGCCCACGGCUUAACCGGGGAGGGUAAUUGGAAACUGGGAGACUUGAGUGAAGAGGAGAAAAGUGGAAUUCAAAGUGUAGCGGUAAAAGGCGUAGAGAUUGGGAGGAACACCAGGGGCGAAGGGAACUUUCUGGUCUGCAAUUGCGGCUGAGGGGCGAAGGCAUGGGAGCAAACA